GUCCCAGACUCCUACGGGAGGCAGCAGUGGGGAAUAUUGCACAAUGGGGGAAACCCUGAUGCAGCGACGCCGCGUGGGUGAAGGAGCACCUCGGUGCGUAAAGCCCUAUCGGCAGGGAAGAAACAGACGGUACCUGACUAAGAAGCCCCGGCUAACUACGUGCCAGCAGCCGCGGGAAUACGUAGGGGGCAAGCGUUAUCCGGAUUCACUGGGUGUAAAGGGAGCGUAGACGGCGACGCAAGUCUGGAGUGAAAACCCAGGGCCCAACCCUGGGACUGCAUUGGAAACUGUAUUGCUUGAGUACCGGAGAGGCAGGCGGAAUUCCUAGUGUAGCGGUGAAAUGCGUAGAUAUUAGGAGGAACACCAGUGGCGAAGGCGGCCUGCUGGACGGUAACUGACGCUGAGGCUCGAAAGCGUGGGGAGCAAACAGGAUUAGAUACCCCUGUA
Molecule: ribosomal RNA, 447 nt
Filed under: uncultured bacterium
Lineage: Bacteria
Description: bacterial SSU rRNA
Rfam family: Bacterial small subunit ribosomal RNA
Source: RNAcentral